Molecule: ribosomal RNA, 468 nt
Filed under: uncultured bacterium
Lineage: Bacteria
Description: partial 16S ribosomal RNA
Rfam family: Bacterial small subunit ribosomal RNA
Source: RNAcentral
GACGAACGCUGGCGGCGUGCUUAACACAUGCAAGUCGAACGGAAAGGCCCUGCUUUUGUGGGGUGCUCGAGUGGCGAACGGGUGAGUAACACGUGAGUAACCUGCCCUUGACUUUGGGAUAACUUCAGGAAACUGGGGCUAAUGCCGGAUAGGAGCUCCUGCUGCAUGGUGGGGGUUGGAAAGUUUCGGCGGUUGGGGAUGGACUCGCGGCUUAUCAGCUUGUUGGUGGGGUAGUGGCUUACCAAGGCUUUGACGGGUAGCCGGCCUGAGAGGGUGACCGGCCACAUUGGGACUGAGAUACGGCCCAGACUCCUACGGGAGGCAGCAGGGGGGAAUAUUGCACAAUGGGCGGAAGCCUGAUGCAGCAACGCCGCGUGCGGGAUGACGGCCUUCGGGUUGUAAACCGCUUUCGCCUGUGACGAAGCGUGAGUGACGGUAAUGGGUAAAGAAGCACCGGCUAACUACGUG